This 247-nucleotide ribosomal RNA is filed under the name uncultured bacterium. Its description in RNAcentral is "partial 16S ribosomal RNA". It matches the Rfam family "Bacterial small subunit ribosomal RNA", at positions 523 to 769 of the family's 1533-position model. The record is from RNAcentral.
AUACGUAGGGGGCAAGCGUUAUCCGGAAUUACUGGGUGUAAAGGGAGAGUAGGCGGCAUGGUAAGCCAGAUGUGAAAGCCUUGGGCUUAACCCGAGGAUUGCAUUUGGAACUAUCAAGCUAGAGUACAGGAGAGGUAAGUGGAAUUCCUAGUGUAGCGGUGAAAUGCGUAGAUAUUAGGAAGAACACCAGUGGCGAAGGCGACUUACUGGACUGAAACUGACGCUGAGGCUCGAAAGCGUGGGGAGC